GUAGGUGAACCUGCGGAAGGAUCAUUACAAAUCUGAGUGGUGUGGCAGUAAUGUCAUACUAUUAUCCCUUUUGGGAAUUUUAGCUUAUUAUGUUUGACCGGUUUUGGCUAGUAAUAAUUUAUACAACUUUUAACAAUGGAUCUCUUGGCUCUU
This 153-nucleotide unclassified non-coding RNA is filed under the name rhizosphere metagenome. Its description in RNAcentral is "partial ribosomal RNA internal transcribed spacer region". The record is from RNAcentral.